AAUAGAUACCCCGGUAGUCCACGACCGUAAACGAUGAGUGCUAAGUGUUAGAGGGUUUCCGCCCUUUAGUGCUGCAGCUAACGCAUUAAGCACUCCGCCUGGGGAGUACGGUCGCAAGACUGAAACUCAAAGGAAUUGACGGGGGCCCGCACAAGCGGUGGAGCAUGUGGUUUAAUUCGAAGCAACGCGAAGAACCUUACCAGGUCUUGACAUCCUCUGACAACUCUAGAGAUAGAGCGUUCCCCUUCGGGGGACAGAGUGACAGGUGGUGCAUGGUUGUCGUCAGCUCGUGUCGUGAGAUGUUGGGUUAAGUCCCGCAACGAGCGCAACCCUUGAUCUUAGUUGCCAGCAUUUAGUUGGGCACUCUAAGGUGACUGCCGGUGACAAACCGGAGGAAGGUGGGGAUGACGUCAAAUCAUCAUGCCCCUUAUGACCUGGGCUACACACGUGCUACAAUGGAUGGUACAAAGGGCUGCAAGACCGCGAGGUCAAGCCAAUCCCAUAAAACCAUUCUCAGUUCGGAUUGUAGG
RNAcentral lists this ribosomal RNA (530 nucleotides) under uncultured bacterium. RNAcentral's name for it is "bacterial SSU rRNA". It matches the Rfam family "Bacterial small subunit ribosomal RNA", at positions 777 to 1304 of the family's 1533-position model. The record is from RNAcentral.